CGGGUGAGUAACACGUGAGCAACCUGCCCUGAAGUGGGGGAUAGCCCGGGGAAACUCGGAUUAAUACCGCAUAUGGUCUUCGGGUCAAAGAUGGCGUAAGCUAUCGCUUUGGGAUGGGCUCGCGGCCUAUCAACUAGUUGGUGAGGUAACGGCUCACCAAGGCGACGACGGGUAGCUGGUCUGAGAGGACGAUCAGUCACACUGGAACUGAGACACGGUCCAGACACCUACGGGUGGCAGCAGUCGAGAAUCAUUCGCAAUGGGGGCAACCCUGACGGUGCGACGCCGCGUGGAGGAUGAAGGCCCUAGGGUCGUAAACUCCUGUCAUCAGGGAGUAAGGCUUUACGUAGUAACUGACGUAAAGAUUGAUAGUACCUGAAGAGGAAGGGACGGCUAACUUCGUGCCAGCAGCCGCGGUAAUACGAAGGUCCCAAGCGUUGUUCGGAUUUACUGGGCGUAAAGCGUCUGUAGGCGGCGAGGUAAGUCAGAUGUGAAAUCCCAGGGCUCAACCCUGGAACUGCAUCCGAUACUGCCUUGCUAGAGGGUCGGAGGGGAGUCUGGAAUUCUCGGUGUAGCAGUGAAAUGCGUAGAUAUCGAGAGGAACACUAGUGGCGAAGGCGAGACUCUGGACGACACCUGACGCUGAGAGACGAAGGCCAGGGUAGCGAAAAGGAUUAGAUACCCUUGUAGUCCUGGCAGUAAACGGUGCACGCUUGGUGUGCGGGGAAUCGACCCCCUGCGUGCCGGAGCUAACGCGUUAAGCGUGCCGCCUGGGGAGUACGGCCGCAAGGUUAAAACUCAAAGAAAUUGACGGGGACCCGCACAAGCGGUG
This 832-nucleotide ribosomal RNA is filed under the name uncultured Verrucomicrobiota bacterium. Its description in RNAcentral is "bacterial SSU rRNA". It matches the Rfam family "Bacterial small subunit ribosomal RNA", at positions 103 to 934 of the family's 1533-position model. Lineage: Bacteria; Pseudomonadati; Verrucomicrobiota. The record is from RNAcentral.